GAGGUAGUGACAAUAAAUCACAAUGCGGAACUUCUGUUUUGCAAUUGGAUUGAGAACAACGCACAACACUUAUCGAUAAACAAUUGGAGGGCAAGUCUGGUGCCAGCAGCCGCGGUAAUUCCAGCUCCAAUAGCGUAUAUUAACGUUGUUGCAGUUAAAAAGCUCGUAGUUGAAGUGAAGUGUGAACCUUCUGGAUUUUCGUUCGAAUUUCUUGCUGGUUCGCACUCUUUCCAAAUAGUUUGCAUGGGUAUUCACUUAUCUGUGUAUUGCAUUUGGUCAUUUACUGUGAGAAAAUUAGAGUGUUCAAAGCAUACGUUUGUUUGAAUACAUUAGCAUGGAAUAAUUCGAAAAGGCUUUCAUGUUCGAUUUGAUUGGUUUGUUCGUGAAGGCAAGAUUAAAAGGGACAGUUGGGGGUAUUCAUAUUCAAUAGUCAGAGGUGAAGUUCUCGGAUUUAUGGAAGAUGAACAAGUGCGAAAGCA
RNAcentral lists this ribosomal RNA (479 nucleotides) under Blastocystis sp. RNAcentral describes it as "SSU rRNA". It matches the Rfam family "Eukaryotic small subunit ribosomal RNA", at positions 461 to 953 of the family's 1831-position model. Lineage: Eukaryota; Bigyra; Opalinata; Blastocystidae. The record is from RNAcentral.